Molecule: ribosomal RNA, 492 nt
Filed under: uncultured bacterium
Lineage: Bacteria
Description: partial 16S ribosomal RNA
Rfam family: Bacterial small subunit ribosomal RNA
Source: RNAcentral
AGUGAACGCUGGCGGUAGGCCUAACACAUGCAAGUCGAACGGCAGCACAGUAAGAGCUUGCUCUUACGGGAGGCGAGUGGCGGACGGGUGAGGAAUACAUCGGAAUCUACUUUUUCGUGGGGGAUAACGUAGGGAAACUUACGCUAAUACCGCAUACGACCUACGGGUGAAAGCAGGGGAUCUUCGGACCUUGCGCGAUUGAAUGAGCCGAUGUCGGAUUAGCUAGUUGGCGGGGUAAAGGCCCACCAAGGCGACGAUCCGUAGCUGGUCUGAGAGGAUGAUCCGACACACUGGAACUGAGACACGGUCCAGACUCCUAGGGGAGGCAGCAGUGGGGAAUAUUGGACAAUGGGCGCAAGCCUGAUCCAGCCAUACCGCGUGGGUGAAGAAGGCCUUCGGGUUGUAAAGCCCUUUUGUUGGGAAAGAAAAGCAGCAGGUUAAUACCCCGCUGUUCUGACGGUACCCAAAGAAUAAGCACCGGCUAACUUCGUG